AAUUAUCAAAAUAAUAAUUUUGGAAAUAAUUAUUGGGUUUUUAUGGAUAAAAGAGGGAAAUAAAUUAAAUUUAAAAACCUUUAAAAAUUAUAGAAAAACAAUAAAACACUUGGACAUGCUUGUAUAUGCAUAUAUAUACUAUUUUGAAGGUAUUUUGCAUAUUGGAAAAUAUAUAGGGAAAAAUUGGAUAUCAAUAGCUGCCCCCUUUUUACUCGGGAAGGAUGAAAAAGUUGUCGGGUAAAGAUAUGAUGGCCAAUUCUGACCGAGCGAAACGGUUUGAAGAAGAUAGGUUGCACCCUGGCUUCUGAGCUGCCUACAUAUCCCUGGUUUUACAGGAAUCAGGUCAUAUGUAGUUCAAGAUCCGUCGGCGGAGUAUGCCGAUGGAGACUUUUCAAGAACGGACGCAAUAUCUAGGACAGAGUGAUUGGCAAGUUUGUGGGAAUGGUCAGGUUUGAUGUGGCUGCGGGAACUGGAGCGGAAUCGCUCCUGCCGGGAUGGCCAUUGCUCGCCUGUGUACCUGCAAUUAGAAACAAUACAAGCGUAUACAGUGCAUAAAUUUAAACAUUAUGCAAAUUCCCGUCGUACCAUGAAUGUUUUCUUCGGACGGUUAGGAUGACGUCCUUUAGAGCAUGACGUCCUGGGCUAUGAAACGUACAAUAAGGAAUUCACGGGCCAUGAAAUGAUGCUCUUGGGCUAUGAGGAUGGUGCCUUCGAACCAUGAUGCCUUUGAAUAAUGAUAUGCAAAAGAUUAAAAGGGGAUCCUCAGGCCAUGAUAUGGUGUUCUCGGGCUAUGAAGAUGAUGCCUCCGAACGAUGACGCCUUUGGAUAAUUUGGCGAUCUUUCAGCCCAUGAGAUGCAGUAUUUGGCGAUCUUUCAGCCCAUGAGAUGCAGUAUUUGGCGAUCUUUUAGCCCAUGGGAUGCAAUAUGAGGUGAUCUUUCAGCCAUGAGAUGCAGUAUGAUGCGAUCUUUCAGCCAUGAGAUGUAGUGAGGUAGUGUUUAGCCUUAUGCAAGGAUGAAGGCAGUGUUUAGCCUUAUGCAAUGCAAGUGCAGAUGGAGGUAGAGCUUAACCUCGGAAGGCAGAAUGGUAGCCUUAUGCGAAUUGGGAGGCAGAAAAGUAGCCUUAUGCAAGAAUGCAGAUGGAGGUAAUAGUAGCCUUAUGCAAUGCGAAAAUGCAGAUGGAGACAAUGUUUAGUCUCGGAAGGCAGAAUGGUAGCCUUAUGCAAUGCAAAAAUGCAGAUGGAGACAGCGUUUAGUCUCGGAAGACAGAAUGGUAGCCUUAUGCAAUGCAAAAAUGCAGAUAGAGACAACGUUUAGUCUCAGAAGGCAGAAUGGUAGCUUAUGCAAUGCAAAAUGCAUAUGGAGACAACGUUUAGUCUCGGAAGGCAGAAUAGUAGCCUUAUGCAAUGCAAAAAUGCAGAUGGAGACAGCGUUUAGUCUCGGAAGGCAGAAUGGUAGCCUUAUGCAAUGCAAAANNNN
This 1476-nucleotide long non-coding RNA is filed under the name Nicotiana tabacum (common tobacco). RNAcentral's name for it is "long non-coding RNA (NTAB_LNC005559)". The record is from RNAcentral. Lineage: Eukaryota; Viridiplantae; Streptophyta; Magnoliopsida; Solanales; Solanaceae.